RNAcentral lists this ribosomal RNA (851 nucleotides) under Bacillus subtilis. RNAcentral's name for it is "bacterial SSU rRNA". It matches the Rfam family "Bacterial small subunit ribosomal RNA", at positions 64 to 896 of the family's 1533-position model. The record is from RNAcentral. Lineage: Bacteria; Bacillati; Bacillota; Bacilli; Caryophanales; Bacillaceae.
GAGCGGACAGAUGGGAGCUUGCUCCCUGAUGUUAGCGGCGGACGGGUGAGUAACACGUGGGUAACCUGCCUGUAAGACUGGGAUAACUCCGGGAAACCGGGGCUAAUACCGGAUGCUUGUUUGAACCGCAUGGUUCAAACAUAAAAGGUGGCUUCGGCUACCACUUACAGAUGGACCCGCGGCGCAUUAGCUAGUUGGUGAGGUAAUGGCUCACCAAGGCAACGAUGCGUAGCCGACCUGAGAGGGUGAUCGGCCACACUGGGACUGAGACACGGCCCAGACUCCUACGGGAGGCAGCAGUAGGGAAUCUUCCGCAAUGGACGAAAGUCUGACGGAGCAACGCCGCGUGAGUGAUGAAGGUUUUCGGAUCGUAAAGCUCUGUUGUUAGGGAAGAACAAGUACCGUUCGAAUAGGGCGGUACCUUGACGGUACCUAACCAGAAAGCCACGGCUAACUACGUGCCAGCAGCCGCGGUAAUACGUAGGUGGCAAGCGUUGUCCGGAAUUAUUGGGCGUAAAGGGCUCGCAGGCGGUUUCUUAAGUCUGAUGUGAAAGCCCCCGGCUCAACCGGGGAGGGUCAUUGGAAACUGGGGAACUUGAGUGCAGAAGAGGAGAGUGGAAUUCCACGUGUAGCGGUGAAAUGCGUAGAGAUGUGGAGGAACACCAGUGGCGAAGGCGACUCUCUGGUCUGUAACUGACGCUGAGGAGCGAAAGCGUGGGGAGCGAACAGGAUUAGAUACCCUGGUAGUCCACGCCGUAAACGAUGAGUGCUAAGUGUUAGGGGGUUUCCGCCCCUUAGUGCUGCAGCUAACGCAUUAAGCACUCCGCCUGAGGAGACCGGUCGCAAAAUGG